This 271-nucleotide long non-coding RNA is filed under the name Musa acuminata (dwarf banana). RNAcentral describes it as "long non-coding RNA (MACU_LNC008809)". The record is from RNAcentral. Lineage: Eukaryota; Viridiplantae; Streptophyta; Magnoliopsida; Zingiberales; Musaceae.
AAGCCCUAUUGAUCUCGAACAGGAACUCUACUCCAAUGAACUAGCACUGAAGAACAAAUUAAGGCAAAGCUCACUAAAGCCCUUGUUUAUUCCGUUCCAAAGCUCACUAAAGCCGUAGUCGAGUUAAGGAGUUAGAUAGGAGAACCCUCUAUUACAUCAUAUGUGACUUUGAAUAGCAGAUUUUCCGUAUUAGCAUAAGAGGAUAGGGCGCAAGCAAGCAAUUGUAGUUAGCGAGUUCCGCUUCCGCAGAUGAGCAUUCGGCUUCCUCUUG